Long non-coding RNA from Bos taurus (domestic cattle), 1970 nucleotides. The record is from Ensembl. Lineage: Eukaryota; Metazoa; Chordata; Mammalia; Artiodactyla; Bovidae.
CUGCUGCUAAUCAGCUCUGUAACCUUGAACAGGGUAUCAUUCAAAGGGAGAUCAGAGCGCUUCAAGAUUCAGUGACCUUAUUAUUAACUUUCCAUGUACUGCUAUUUUCUUAUCUAUCCAUCUUAGCCUGCUAUCACUCCAUGUGUACUAUCUAGAGACAAAAAAGCAGAGCUGGGUACCUCCAAAUGUCACAAGCAGCAAAAUAUCCAAAAGACUUAAUAUUUUCCUGGCUGACAAUGUGUACAUUGUGUACUAUGGCAUUUUCCUUCCUGAUGUUGUUAAAGAUAUAGCACAUUUUAAAGAUAAAAACUAGACAAGUGGCAUUUUAAGACAUUACAAAGUAUUUAUCUUACAGGAACAGAUUAACAACCUUAAAAUCCUACCAAGACUUGCUUUAAUAUACAACAGAACCUGGAGUCCUCACCACCACUAACUCAUGACGCUGUUACCUAAGCAACUGUUAGCUUUGUGCACGAACAUUGUAGUGGGCUGGACUUGGCGCAAGGGAAUUAGUUAGAAACUCUACUACUGUUGGCACUGCUCUGAAACCAUCCUAUCGACCACCCACGUGGCCCAACGCAUUUCCUUACGUGUUGCUGCUUGGACUUUCUCACAACUUAGCGCCCUCCUCUGCUUCUACCACUUAAGGUCAUUUAUCUUAUUGUUGUUCUCAGAUCUCCUUAAUGGUCAUGCAAAGGCUUGUUUAACUAUCUGGAUAAGGACAUGGCUGCACGGAACUUUGCCUUCUCCCUUAAACUUCUGUGUAAUUUCAACUUUUUGCUUAAAAAAAUUACAUAUGACUUAUGUAUUUCCCUCAGGUAUUUGCUUCAUCCUUCAAGAUGCAAUUCAGAGAUUUAUCCUCUCUGACCGCGCCACCUGUACCACUAGUACUGAAUCCAUCUUGGUUAACAUCCCAUAUCGCAGUCUCAAGUGAACUGUCAAUCCCCGAAUCCCCAGGGUGUGGCACAGUGCCUGGCACUUAAGAAACCCAUUAAAUAUUUCUUAAACAUUAAUCUAUUUUCUAGUAUGCUGCUAAGUCGCUUCAGUCGUGUCCGACUCUGUGCCCCUCCGUCCCUGAUUUUCCAGGCAAGAGUACUGGAGUGGGGUGCCAUAUUAACCCCUAUGUUUGUACAAAACUCGAAAUUUUGUACGCAACCUUAAAAAAUUACACCAUCAUAUAAAAUUCAAGAUAAAGCAGUAACACUUUCUUCACCAUUUUGCAAAGGGGGAGUAUAGUCAAGGAUAUUAAAAAUCGUAUUAACCUUCAUGUUUUUUGGUGGUCACACACUAUCUAGAGACUAAUUUCUUUCUUUUUACUGUCUAUAUCGAGACUAAAACAUUACACUUAAAAUGGAAUCGCAUGUUAGCAUAGUGCAAACCAGUUUUGCAAUUAGUGAAAAAAUAUUUACUUAGCAACUGUUGAGAGCAGUUUCUAAAAAUACCCACCUCCCACCUUUCUUCCAAUCCUAAAAAUCUAAUAUAGCACUUCAUCACCAAGAUUUGUGUCACUGUUCACUGGCAGAGAACCAAUGGAUGCCUGCCUGACAAAAUUGUUUCCAAUGGUUAUUCAAACUAUUUCACAUCCCUGCAUUAGUAAGGCUGACUUAAUAUGGUAAUGGUGAGAAAGGGCCACAUUUUUCUACCUAAUACAUUCUACUCCAUAAAUAAUCAGACUACGAAUGUACUAUGGUACUAGAGGGUGAGAAAAUCCUGUCAGUGAAUAUACUAAUACAUUAGAAUAGCAUACCUCUAUAAACCUGAUUACAUGGAAAUGCUCCAAAAUUGUAAAUAAAAUAUUUACCAUAGGUAAAAAUAACCUGACCAAAUUUCUUAUUCAGUAGAAUGCAGACUUUAUUAAUGCAUCCUACUUAGUAUUUGGUCCUAAACAUGGACUCGACUAAUAGCCCCAACAGUUGAAGGGAUGACUUGUUUAUGAAAACCUAUCAGUUUGGACUUUAACUCCUCCUACA